ACGGGUGAGUAACACGUGGGUAACCUACCCUUCAGUGGGGGACAACAGAGGGAAACUUCUGCUAAUACCGCAUAAGACCACGAUCUGGGAUGAUAGUGGGAAAAGGAUUUAUUCGCUGAGGGAUGGGCCUGCGGCCUAUCAGGUAGUUGGUGAGGUAAUGGCUCACCAAGCCUGCGACGGGUAGCCGGACUGAGAGGUCGAUCGGCCACACUGGAACUGAGACACGGUCCAGACUCCUACGGGAGGCAGCAGUGGGGAAUAUUGCACAAUGGGGGAAACCCUGAUGCAGCGACGCCGCGUGGAGGAUGACGGCCUUCGGGUUGUAAACUCCUUUUGCAGGGGACAAUGGUGAUGGUACCCUGCGAAUAAGCCACGGCUAACUCUGUGCCAGCAGCCGCGGUAAGACAGAGGUGGCGAGCGUUGUUCGGAAUUACUGGGCUUAAAGGGCGCGUAGGCGGUGGUUUAAGUCUAGGGUGGAAUGCUACAGCUCAACUGUAGAGCUGCCUUGGAAACUGGAUUACUUGAGUCGGUGAGGGGAAGGUGGAAUUCCAGGU
This 554-nucleotide ribosomal RNA is filed under the name uncultured bacterium. RNAcentral describes it as "bacterial SSU rRNA". It matches the Rfam family "Bacterial small subunit ribosomal RNA", at positions 102 to 674 of the family's 1533-position model. The record is from RNAcentral.